UCGGGAAUCUUGCACAAUGGGCGAAAGCCUGAUGCAGCAACGCCGUGUGAGCGAGGAAGGUCUUCGGAUCGUAAAGCUCUGUUGUUGGGGACGAAGGGCGAAGGGUUAAUAGCCCCUAGCCUGACGGUACCCUUCGAGGAAGCCCCGGCUAACUACGUGCCAGCAGCCGCGGUAAUACGUAGGGGGCGUGCGUUGUCCGGAAUUAUUGGGCGUAAAGAGCGUGUAGGCGGCCUGGUAAGUCUGUCGUGAAAUGCUGGGGCUCAACCCUGGACGUGCGAUGGGUACUGCUAGGCUAGAGGAUGGUAGAGGCGAGUGGAAUUCCCGGUGUAGCGGUGUAAUGCGCAGAUAUCGGGAGGAACACCAGUAGCGAAGGCGGCUCGCUGGGCCAUUCCUGACGCUGAGGGACGAAAGCUAGGGGAGCGAAUGGGAUUAGAUACCCGCGUAGUCC
RNAcentral lists this ribosomal RNA (448 nucleotides) under uncultured prokaryote. RNAcentral describes it as "bacterial SSU rRNA". It matches the Rfam family "Bacterial small subunit ribosomal RNA", at positions 355 to 796 of the family's 1533-position model. The record is from RNAcentral.